AGGAAUGCAUGAGGUAUGGGCCGGUGCUGCCUCAAACGGCACGACCUGAUUCUGGAGAAUUGGAGAAGGUUCUAGAUCCUGUGCAUGUGCAAGGCCGAGGUGCACCGAAGAAAAGGCUGAAGAAGAAGCGGAAAAGAUCAAACUCAAAAUGCGGCUAUUGCAGGUUGGAGGGUCACAAUCGGCGUAAAUGUGCCAAGUGGAUAGAGGACAACAAUCUGACAGGGCCUUGUUAGCUCUCUUCACUUUGUGCUUUCUCCUAGGAAUUGGUGAUCUUUCCAAUAAAGGAGGCUAUUAUGGGAGUCUACAUAUGCUUCUUCGAUAAGGGCAUGCUUAGCUAUUGCCUCACUUUGUCUAGGACCUCAUUUUCCACAGAUUAUUUGCAUAGUUUUUCUAGUAAUUUUUGUACUACAUUGUGUUGAGGUGGACAAAAAGAUAAUUCUUGUGCAGUAUAUGUAUACCUUCUUGUUCUACUGUUAACCUUUGGCUUACUUACUAAUGUAUUGCCGGUAUGUAGUAGAAAAGUUUGCAUGAACAAACUGGUAACUUUGCCUACUCCAAAAAAAUGUAGGCGACAUUGUAUUCAUUUUCCACGAUAAAGUGAAAUGCAUUGGUGUUGCCUCAACUAAAUUUACUCUAAAGUUUACAGCAGUGCGUCUGGUCUAAAGUUUAAAGUAGUGUGUCUGCUCUUGGUUUACAGUAGGAUGGUACAAACUAUGCUGAUACCAAUUCCCUUUUCAUACAUGACCAUUUGAUCUGCACGGCU
Molecule: long non-coding RNA, 763 nt
Organism: Lolium rigidum
Lineage: Eukaryota; Viridiplantae; Streptophyta; Magnoliopsida; Poales; Poaceae
Exons: 3
Source: RefSeq, a predicted model, not a curated record